RNAcentral lists this ribosomal RNA (253 nucleotides) under uncultured bacterium. Its description in RNAcentral is "partial 16S ribosomal RNA". It matches the Rfam family "Bacterial small subunit ribosomal RNA", at positions 524 to 776 of the family's 1533-position model. The record is from RNAcentral.
UACGUAGGGUGCAAGCGUUGUCCGGAAUUAUUGGGCGUAAAGAGCUCGUAGGCGGUUUGUCGCGUCUGCUGUGAAAACUCGGGGCUUAACUCCGGGCUUGCAGUGGGUACGGGCAGACUAGAGUGCGGUAGGGGAGACUGGAAUUCCUGGUGUAGCGGUGAAAUGCGUAGAUAUCUGGAGGAAUACCGGUGGCGAAGGCGGCAUCCUGGACCGACAUUGACGCUGAGGAGCGAAAGCUAGGGGAGCAAACGGG